CCUACGGGAGGCAGCAGUGAGGAAUAUUGGUCAAUGGCCGGAAGGCUGAACCAGCCAAGCCGCGUGAAGGACGACGGUGCUAUGCAUUGUAAACUUCUUUUGUCCAGGGACAAAAUCAGGCUCGCGAGCCCGAUUGAGGGUACCUGAAGAAAAAGCAUCGGCUAACUCCGUGCCAGCAGCCGCGGUAAUACGGAGGAUGCGAGCGUUAUCCGGUUUUAUUGGGUUUAAAGGGUGCGUAGGCGGACGGUUCAGUCAGCGGUAAAAGCCCUGGGCUAAACCCCGGCGAGCCGUUGAAACUGGCUGUCUUGAGUGGGCGAGAGGUAUGCGGAAUGCGCGGUGUAGCGGUGAAAUGCUUAGAUAUUGCGCAGAACUCCGAGUGCGAAGGCAGCAUACCGGCGGCGAACUGACGCUGAGGCACGAAAGCGUGGGUAUCGAACAGGAUUAGAUACCCUGGUAGUC
This 459-nucleotide ribosomal RNA is filed under the name uncultured bacterium. Its description in RNAcentral is "partial 16S ribosomal RNA". It matches the Rfam family "Bacterial small subunit ribosomal RNA", at positions 338 to 795 of the family's 1533-position model. The record is from RNAcentral.